AACCCAUGCAUCGGAUAUUUUCGAAUUAAGUCUUUAAAUUGCUCCCAAGCUUUAUAUAGCAUUUCAUCCUUUAAUUGCUAAAAAGAUAUGAUAUCAUUUCUAAGCUU
RNAcentral lists this small nucleolar RNA (107 nucleotides) under Gossypium hirsutum (cotton). Its description in RNAcentral is "Plant small nucleolar RNA R71". It matches the Rfam family "Plant small nucleolar RNA R71". Rfam says of the family: R71 is a member of the C/D box family of snoRNAs containing the C (UGAUGA) and D (CUGA) box motifs. Multiple nearly identical copies of this snoRNA have been identified in Arabidopsis, and it is thought to function as a 2'-O-ribose methylation guide for 18S ribosomal RNA. Lineage: Eukaryota; Viridiplantae; Streptophyta; Magnoliopsida; Malvales; Malvaceae. The record is from Rfam by way of RNAcentral.